This 366-nucleotide ribosomal RNA is filed under the name uncultured bacterium. Its description in RNAcentral is "bacterial SSU rRNA". It matches the Rfam family "Bacterial small subunit ribosomal RNA", at positions 958 to 1321 of the family's 1533-position model. The record is from RNAcentral.
AACGCGAAGAACCUUACCUACCCUUGACAUGCCAGGAACUUGCCAGAGAUGGCUCGGUGCUCGAAAGAGAGCCUGGACACAGGUGCUGCAUGGCCGUCGUCAGCUCGUGUCGUGAGAUGUUGGGUUAAGUCCCGCAACGAGCGCAACCCUCGUCCCAUGUUGCCAGCGGGUAAUGCCGGGGACUCGUGGGAGACUGCCGGGGUCAACUCGGAGGAAGGUGGGGAUGACGUCAAGUCUUCAUGGCCUUUAUGGCCAGGGCUACACACGUGCUACAAUGGUAAGUACAGAGGGAAGCCAACCGGCGACGGGGAGCCAAUCCCAGAAAACUUAUCGUAGUCCGGAUCGGAGUCUGCAACUCGACUCCGU